GCGGUGACCGCACAUCCCCGUCGGGCGAGUGGCCUCGUCACCUGUGGCAGAGGGCGGCCUUCCCGCCGCGAAGGAGUGUACCCUGUGUCGUGUAGGCGGGCUGUGUGCUGAGGAGCUGGUGGCGAGGAGAGGCCCAGAUUUCAGAAUUUAAAGGGAAGAGAUAUGUAGACCACUCAGCUUAACUGCACUAUUCAUCUAUGUAACAUAAGCCACAAAACCUCUUCAGUUCAUCUGGAUUUGAUUUAUCUGAAUAAAUCUGAGUAAGAUGAUCCAUAUAAAGAAAAGUACGCUUCCUGCACUUCUUUUUUCUUGGUAAGAUUGCUGCUAGUUCCU
Rhea pennata is the source of this 333-nucleotide long non-coding RNA. RefSeq lists it as uncharacterized. The transcript is spliced from 3 exons. Lineage: Eukaryota; Metazoa; Chordata; Aves; Rheiformes; Rheidae. The record is from RefSeq and is a predicted model, not a curated record.